This 268-nucleotide small RNA is filed under the name Pan troglodytes (chimpanzee). RNAcentral's name for it is "Metazoan signal recognition particle RNA (ENSPTRG00000052676.1)". Lineage: Eukaryota; Metazoa; Chordata; Mammalia; Primates; Hominidae. The record is from RNAcentral.
GCUGGGCGUGGUGGUGCACGCCUGUAGUCCCAGCUACUCAGGAGGCUGAGGCAGGAGGAUCACUUGAACCCGGGAGGCAGAGGCCGCAGUGAGCCAAGAUUGCACUACUGCACUCCAGCCUGGGGACAGAGUGAGACUCCACCUUGAAAAAAAAAGAAGAAAAAAGAAAGUGCAACAGGCUAAAACUUCUGUGCCAAUCAGUAGUGGGAUUGUGCCUAUGAAUAGCCACAGCACGCCAGCCUGGGGAACAUAGUCAGACCCCAUCUCU